GUCCCUCCCUCGGUGACACACUGCAGCCCUGGUUCCAUGAGGGGCUCUUGGGUUCCAUGGUGCACGCCUUUUUCACAUCUGAGCCUUGCUUCCAUGGGUUCCAUGGACUGACAGGGGCCCUCUGCAUUCCAUGGGGCCCAGCUAGAUCACAGCAGAGCCUGGCUUUCAUCAGGUUCUGAUACCUGUUCUGCCAGCUGAGUGGGGUGAUUUAAAGAACACAGAAACCAAUGGGAAGAAUGGUCUUAUUUUACUGUGAGUGUUAAUGCAAUGCAAAGUUAAAUUAUACAUUCAAUAACACUACCUGCUUGGCUUUAGCAACAAGCAAAAAGAAGCAAGGUAAUGCACCUAAUCAUUAUUACAGGAGACAAAGUGUAAUAAAUAGGUGUGAUUCAUGUUGAUACAAUUGAAACAGUAAUCAAUAUUGAUACACUAAUUAAUAUUUUGAAAUAAUAGAACAGUUAAAGGCAUAAUGCCAAGAAAUAAGGGGAGAGGAGGGGUUCCCCCCAGCCCUUCUCCUGCAGAUGUUCAGAACAGGAAGCAAGAGAUAACUAUUACUAAAUUUAGUUGGAAGAUAGGAAAAUUUGGUGGGACAUCAUGAAAAUGCUAAUUAUAUGAGAUUUAUUCCUUUGAUGCUGGAACAUAAUAUUGGCUUAUAUUAUAUUAGCUUUGGCUUACAUUAUACUAUCUUCCUGCGCAUGUGUAUUCCAAAAGGUGAAUCAAAAUACAUCGAGGAAGAGGAGAGGCCUUCAUCAGGGAUGACCUCCAAUGAGUGGUGCGACCACCUAAAAAAUGGUGGCGCAUGCCUGGUAAAGGUGAUGAUGGGAGUGGAGAUACAAGUGUGACAAACCGAAAAUGGGAGGAGAUGCAGCCUCAGCCAGAUCGAUUAAAAUACUGCUCCAAACAACAACAGAAUGAAAAUAUUCCACCGAAUGGGGAAAAAGAAGACAAGUGGCCAGCAGCCCUUUCUGAAGAGCUUGUGUUGAUUUUGCCAAGUCAGAUGCAAACAAGGAGUCAGAGGAAGAGAAUAUGUGUGACCUGCCUGGCUUUAGCGUUGUGCCAGGAGCAAUGCCAUGGGGAAGCUGGUCAGAGGAGCAUCUGAGAAGUGUGUGGUACAUCAGGGAUGUCCUACUACUGAUCUUUGCACAGAGAUGAAAAAGUAUCAGUUUGCAUGGCCUGAAUGUCUGGCUCGGGACAUUCUGCAUUGCACGAGAUGUGCUGAGUUCAUCUGGCUCUGAAAUAUCAUCUCUGCACCUUAGCCAGGAACAGCAUCAGAGUUCUGAACAGAUUCAUCAAAAUCAGUCAUAACCCAGAGGCAAACCUUGGCAAUACACAUCUAUGGCAGGUGAGGAGACCAAAA
This is a long non-coding RNA of Passer domesticus (house sparrow), 1357 nucleotides long. RefSeq lists it as uncharacterized. The record is from RefSeq and is a predicted model, not a curated record. Lineage: Eukaryota; Metazoa; Chordata; Aves; Passeriformes; Passeridae. The transcript has 3 exons.